AAGACAUGAGGCUAUGUCACGGGGCCCAAGAGCAGGGCCCACCACUGCCCUGCUUUGGCCAAGUGCUAACCCCUUGGCUCUCUCUUCUAGGACCAGGGUACAGAAGACCACUUCACAGACAUGGUUUGCAGGUAGUACACGAAGCUGGGCAGAUAUUCAUCUAAAAGAAAUCAAUCACAAGCCAUUAAUAGAUCCAUCCAUAUGGAGCAGACACAACAGAGACAGCACGGGCUGCUGGGCGGUACUGACGCAUGGAGUGGACAAGAAUUUGCUUCUCAUCAACCUCAACGUGGAUUCCUCCGAUGGGCUAUUCUUGGAGAUGCCUUAACAGUGACUUUAACUGUCUAAGAUACGAAAUGACCAAACCUCCCUCCCAUCCAUAAACAGAUUAGCCCUAAUCUUCAAACAGCCACGCUAAGCAUUCGGGUUCACCAGGUAGCUCAGGGGAAGUCAGCCCCUGAUAAGCAAGCUAAGCAAAUUCCCAGGGUUUCAGCUCUUCAGUCAAGAUCCUAAAAGCCAACGGACUCUGCUAUAUUCUUCUCCACCCAUGGAGCACUGUGGCUCGGGUCACCGCACAGGCCACUGAACCAAUGCCCAGUUGGCCUGUGAGCCACGCCUUGAUCACUUCACUGUGGGAGGUCAGUUUCCUUUUUCCCUAAGAAUCCAACAUUGAAUUUCCCAGUCCGUCUUUUCUCAUUACAUAAGCCAGCUGUUUCCUGCAACCGCCUGCUGGGAUGAGAGCACUGGGCCGGGAGAUCUGGCCCCCGGACUGGUCUCCAGCACUCUCCAGCCACAGAGUGGCCUCUUGGAGAUCCACUUCUUCAUCUGCAAAAUGGGAGUGCCCUCCCGGCCUUCCUACGGGGCUGCGGAGAUGACCCGGUGACAUGAUUGCCACUCUGCUCCCCUUCCGUAAGCAUAGGGUGGUGGUGGUAUGUUACAGGGCACAGCUUGUGGCUGUAGCCUGGGGGUGCCCGGGUGGGGGUGCCCGGGUGGGGGUGAGAGAGGCCGAGCUGGUGCUCACACCAAGUGCUGACCCAGUGAUACGUCCAUUGUCCUUGGCCCUUGGCCCACCCACAACUUUCUCAGCAAUCUCGCCGCUGCCGCACCUUAAAACCACCCAGCA
Molecule: long non-coding RNA, 1123 nt
Filed under: Vulpes vulpes (red fox)
Lineage: Eukaryota; Metazoa; Chordata; Mammalia; Carnivora; Canidae
Description: lncRNA (ENSVVUG00000023080.1)
Source: RNAcentral